This 447-nucleotide ribosomal RNA is filed under the name uncultured bacterium. RNAcentral's name for it is "bacterial SSU rRNA". It matches the Rfam family "Bacterial small subunit ribosomal RNA", at positions 355 to 825 of the family's 1533-position model. The record is from RNAcentral.
UGGGGAAUAUUGGACAAUGGGCGCAAGCCUGAUCCAGCCAUGCCGCGUGAGUGACGAAGGCCUUAGGGUUGUAAAGCUCUUUUGGCGGGGAAGAUAAUGACGGUACCCGCAGAAUAAGCUCCGGCUAACUUCGUGCCAGCAGCCGCGGUAAUACGAAGGGAGCUAGCGUUGUUCGGAAUCACUGGGCGUAAAGCGCACGUAGGUGGGCAGUUAAGUCAGGGGUGAAAGCCCGAGGCUCAACCUCGGAAUUGCCUCUGAUACUGGCUGUCUAGAGUUCGAGAGAGGUGAGUGGAAUUCCUAGUGUAGAGGUGAAAUGCGUAGAUAUCAAGAGGAACACCUGAGGUGAAGACGGGUUGCUGGGCUGAUACUGACGCUGAGGCGCGAAAGCUAGGGUAGCAAACGGGAUUAGAUACCCAAGUAGUCCCUGAGCGGGCUGGCAAGGCGCAU